GACGAACGCUGGCGGCGUGCUUAACACAUGCAAGUCGAACGAAGUGGCGAACGGGUGAGUAACGCGUAAUCAACCUGCCCUUCAGAGGGGGACAACAGUUGGAAACGACGGCUAAUACCGCAUACUGAAGGAGGGGAUUGCGUCUGACUAGCUAGUUGGAGGGGUAACGGCCCACCAAGGCGAUGAUCAGUAGCCGGUCUGAGGGGAUGAUCAGUCACGUUGGAACUGAGACACGGUCCAAACUCCUACGGGAGGCAGCAGUAGGGAAUAUUGCGCAAUGGGGGAGACCCUGACACAGCAACGCCGCGUGGAGGAUGACACUUUUCGGAGCAUAGACUCCUUUUGUUAGGGAAGCGGUACCUGACGAAUAAGCACCGGCUAACUCCGUGCCAGCAGCCGCGGUAAUAC
This 408-nucleotide ribosomal RNA is filed under the name uncultured bacterium. RNAcentral describes it as "partial 16S ribosomal RNA". It matches the Rfam family "Bacterial small subunit ribosomal RNA", at positions 28 to 526 of the family's 1533-position model. The record is from RNAcentral.